GCUCCAUUGGCGUAUAUUAAAGUUGUUGCGGUUAAAAAGCUCGUAGUUGGAUCUGUGUAUCGGACGGUCGGUUCGCCGCCCGCGGUGUUUAACUGACCGGUCCGGACGUCCUGCCGGUGGGACCCGGUUCACGCCGGGGCCCGUAACUCCCUCCGUGCUGCUCUUAACCGAGUGGUUCGGUGGGCCGGCACGUUUACUUUGAACAAAUUUGAGUGCUCAAAGCAGGCCUUAUGUUGCCUGAAAACUGUGUGCAUGGAAUAAUGGAAUAGGACCUUGGUUCUAUUUUGUUGGCUUUUCUGAACUCGAGGUAAUGAUUAAUAGGGACAGACGGGGGCAUUCGUAUUACGACGUUAGAGGUGAAAUUCUUGGAUCGUCGUAAGACGAACCGAUGCGAAAGCGUUUGCCAAGAAUGUUUUCGCUAAUCAAGAACGAAAGUUAGAGGUUCGAAGGCGAUCAGAUACCGCCCUAGUUCUAACCAUAAACGAUGCCAGCCAGCGAUGCGCCGAAGUUCUUCCGAUGACUCGGCGCGCAGCUUCCGGGAAACCAAAGCUUUUGGGUUCCGGGGGAAGUA
RNAcentral lists this ribosomal RNA (571 nucleotides) under Oligoneuriella rhenana. RNAcentral's name for it is "SSU rRNA". It matches the Rfam family "Eukaryotic small subunit ribosomal RNA", at positions 588 to 1125 of the family's 1831-position model. The record is from RNAcentral. Lineage: Eukaryota; Metazoa; Arthropoda; Insecta; Ephemeroptera; Oligoneuriidae.